UACGUAGGGGGCAAGCGUUAUCCGGAUUUACUGGGUGUAAAGGGAGCGUAGACGGCAUAGUAAGUUUGAAGUGAAACCCCAGGGCUCAACCCUGGGCAUGCUUUGAAAACUAUUAAGCUAGAGUGUCGGAGAGGUAAGUGGAAUUCCUAGUGUAGCGGUGAAAUGCGUAGAUAUUAGGAGGAACACCAGUGGCGAAGGCGGCUUACUGGACGAUAACUGACGUUGAGGCUCGAAAGCGUGGGGAGCAAACAGG
Molecule: ribosomal RNA, 253 nt
Filed under: uncultured bacterium
Lineage: Bacteria
Description: partial 16S ribosomal RNA
Rfam family: Bacterial small subunit ribosomal RNA
Source: RNAcentral